GACGAACGCUGGCGGCGUGCUUAACACAUGCAAGUCGAACGCGCCUGUCCUCUGGGUUUCUGGGGGGUGGGUGAGUGGCGAACGGGUGAGUAACACGUGAGUAACCUGCCCCCUUCUUCGGGAUAACGGUCUGAAAGGGCUGCUAAUACCGGGUAUUCACUGGUCUCCGCAUGGGGUCUGGUGGAAAGGUUUUUUUCUGGUGGGGGAUGGGCUCGCGGCCUAUCAGCUUGUUGGUGGGGUGAUGGCCCACCAAGGCUUUGACGGGUAGCCGGCCUGAGAGGGUGACCGGUCACAUUGGGACUGAGAUACGGCCCAGACUCCUACGGGAGGCAGCAGUGGGGAAUAUUGCACAAUGGGCGCAAGCCUGAUGCAGCGACGCCGCGUGAGGGAUGGAGGCCUUCGGGUUGUGGACCUCUUUCGCCCGUGGUCAAGCCGCGACGUGGGUCGUGGUGAGGGUAGUGGGUAAAGAAGCGCCGGCUAACUACGUG
This 488-nucleotide ribosomal RNA is filed under the name uncultured bacterium. RNAcentral describes it as "partial 16S ribosomal RNA". It matches the Rfam family "Bacterial small subunit ribosomal RNA", at positions 28 to 507 of the family's 1533-position model. The record is from RNAcentral.